AGCACCGGCUAACUCCGUGCCAGCAGCCGCGGUAAUACGGAGGGUGCGAGCGUUAAUCGGAAUUACUGGGCGUAAAGCGCAUGCAGGUGGUUUGUUAAGUCAGAUGUGAAAGCCCGGGGCUCAACCUCGGAAUUGCAUUUGAAACUGGCAGACUAGAGUACUGUAGAGGGGGGUAGAAUUUCAGGUGUAGCGGUGAAAUGCGUAGAGAUCUGAAGGAAUACCGGUGGCGAAGGCGGCCCCCUGGACAGAUACUGACACUCAGAUGCGAAAGCGUGGGGAGCAAACAGGAUUAGAUACCCUGGUAGUCCACGCCGUAAACGAUGUCUACUUGGAGGUUGUGGCCUUGAGCCGUGGCUUUCGGAGCUAACGCGUUAAGUAGACCGCCUGGGGAGUACGGUCGCAAGAUUAAAACUCAAAUGAAUUGACGGGGGCCCGCACAAGCGGUGGAGCAUGUGGUUUAAUUCGAUGCAACGCGAAGAACCUUACCUAC
Molecule: ribosomal RNA, 490 nt
Filed under: Vibrio parahaemolyticus
Lineage: Bacteria; Pseudomonadati; Pseudomonadota; Gammaproteobacteria; Vibrionales; Vibrionaceae
Description: bacterial SSU rRNA
Rfam family: Bacterial small subunit ribosomal RNA
Source: RNAcentral